AGAGUUUGAUCCUGGCUCAGGACGAACGUUGGCGGUGCGCUUAAUGCAUGCAAGUCGAGGGAGAACCAUUCGAUCCGUAAGGACUGGAUGGGGAAACCGGCGAACGGGUGCGUAACACGUGAGGAACCUGCCCCGAAGACCGGGAUAGCCCGAGGAAACUCGGAUUAAUACCGGAUACCCUCUUUGGACCACAUGGUCCGCUGAGGAAAUGGUCCGCCGCUUCGGGAUGGCCUCGCGGCCUAUCAGCUUGUUGGUGAGGUAACGGCUCACCAAGGCAAAGACGGGUAGCUGGUCUGAGAGGACGAUCAGCCACACUGGGACUGAGACACGGCCCAGACUCCUACGGGAGGCAGCAGCAGGGAAUAUUGCACAAUGGGCGAAAGCCUGAUGCAGCGACACCGCGUGCGGGAUGAAGGCCCUCGGGUUGUAAACCGCUUUCAGGAGGGACGAAAAUGACGGUACCUCCAGAAGAAGGCCCGGCCAACUACGUGCCAGCAGCCGCGGUAAUACGUAGGGGCCAAACGUUGUCCGGAUUUAUUGGGCGUAAAGGGCUCGUAGGCGGUUCAACAAGUCGAUCGUGAAAGCCCGGGGCUCAACCCCGGGACGCCGGUCGAAACUGUUGUGACUAGGGUCCGGUAGAGGUGAGUGGAAUUCUCGGUGUAGCGGUGGAAUGCGCAGAUAUCGAGAGGAACACCAGUU
RNAcentral lists this ribosomal RNA (699 nucleotides) under uncultured bacterium. Its description in RNAcentral is "bacterial SSU rRNA". It matches the Rfam family "Bacterial small subunit ribosomal RNA", at positions 8 to 714 of the family's 1533-position model. The record is from RNAcentral.